Molecule: ribosomal RNA, 253 nt
Filed under: uncultured bacterium
Lineage: Bacteria
Description: partial 16S ribosomal RNA
Rfam family: Bacterial small subunit ribosomal RNA
Source: RNAcentral
UACGUAGGCAGCGAGCGUUGUUCGGAGUUACUGGGCGUAAAGCGUGCGUAGGCGGUUUUGUAAGUUUGGUGUGAAAUCUCCCGGCUCAACUGGGAGGGUGCGCCGAAAACUGCAAGGCUGGAGUGUGGGAGAGGUAGGCGGAAUUCCUGGUGUAGCGGUGAAAUGCGUAGAUAUCAGGAGGAACACCUGUGGUGUAGACGGCUUACUGGACCAUGACUGACGCUGAGGCGCGAAAGCGUGGGGAGCAAACAGG